GUGACGAUGCGACGCCGCGUGAGCGAAGAAGGCCUUAGGGUUGUAAAGCUCUGUCGAGGGUUAUGAAAUAUAGAUGGGUUAAUACCCCAUUUAUUUGACAAAAGCCCAAAAGGAAGCCACGGCUAACUCUGUGCCAGCAGCCGCGGUAAUACAGAGGUGGCGAGCGUUGUUCGGUAUUAUUGGGCGUAAAGAGCACGUAGGUGGUUUUGUAAGUCAGGUGUGAAAGCCUUCUGUUCAAAGGAAGAACGGCAUCUGAAACUGCAGAUCUUGAGUGUAGGAGGGGAGAGUGGAACUUCUGGUGGAGCGGUGAAAUGCGUAGAUAUCAGAAGGAACGUCGGCGGCGAAAGCGACUCUCUGGCCUAUUACUGACACUGAGGUGCGAAAGUUAGGGGAGCAAACGGGAUUAGAUACCCCGGUAGUCCUAACCGUAAACGAU
Molecule: ribosomal RNA, 436 nt
Filed under: uncultured anaerobic ammonium-oxidizing bacterium
Lineage: Bacteria
Description: bacterial SSU rRNA
Rfam family: Bacterial small subunit ribosomal RNA
Source: RNAcentral